Molecule: small RNA, 132 nt
Filed under: Flavobacterium branchiophilum
Lineage: Bacteria; Pseudomonadati; Bacteroidota; Flavobacteriia; Flavobacteriales; Flavobacteriaceae
Description: Flavo-1 RNA
Rfam family: Flavo-1 RNA
Source: Rfam by way of RNAcentral
UCGCAUUAGGGAUUGAAGUGGAAAUCCUUUUUGAGCCCCCCAGCCCCCGAAGGGGGAGUUGUUGUACGGGAAUUUAUAUAAAUAUCUAAUAACACUGUAACAAAAAGAUUGCAACGAAAAGCCCGACCCGUA